RNAcentral lists this ribosomal RNA (480 nucleotides) under uncultured bacterium. Its description in RNAcentral is "bacterial SSU rRNA". It matches the Rfam family "Bacterial small subunit ribosomal RNA", at positions 28 to 507 of the family's 1533-position model. The record is from RNAcentral.
GACGAACGCUGGCGGUAUGCCUAACACAUGCAAGUCGAACGAGAUUCUUUUUUUGUUUACAAAGAAAUGAUUGCAGUGGCGGACGGGUGAGGAACACGUAAGAACUUACCUUUUGGCGGGGGAUAACAACGGGAAACUGUUGCUAAUACCCCAUAACGCUGAGGAGCGAAAGGGAAACUGCCAAAAGAGAGGCUUGCGUCUGAUUAGCUAGUUGGUGGAGGUAAAUGCUCCCCAAGGCGACGAUCAGUAGCUGGUCUGAGAGGAUGAUCAGCCACACUGGGACUGAGACACGGCCCAGACUCCUACGGGAGGCAGCAGUGGGGAAUUUUGGACAAUGGACGCAAGUCUGAUCCAGCAAUGCCGCGUGCAGGACGAAAGGCCUUCGGGUUGUAAACUGCUUUUGUACAGAACGAAAAGGACUCUGGUUAAUACCUGGGGCUCAUGACGGUACUGUAAGAAUAAGCACCGGCUAACUACGUG